This 1459-nucleotide long non-coding RNA is filed under the name Oncorhynchus kisutch (coho salmon). Its description in RNAcentral is "lncRNA (ENSOKIG00005049887.1)". Lineage: Eukaryota; Metazoa; Chordata; Actinopteri; Salmoniformes; Salmonidae. The record is from RNAcentral.
UGUCUCAUUGACGAGGCCCUGCUGAAACGAAGGUCAAAUACUUAAUCUAAACCCCUAACAAACCCUAUCUUUCAUAACCUUAAGAUCAGCAAUGCCACAUAUUCAGACAGCGGACAGUAUGUUUGUGCCUUACAGGUGCUUAACAAUAGAAAAGGGCACUGGAAGGUAAUAACUAAUGUCACAGUCACUGUGAAUGGAGAAUUCAACAACCACCCCAACAGGAAUGACACAGCCCUGUUAUAUACUCCUGCCAUUGUCAUUGUCAUGAUGAAAAAUACCAAGAUUUCGCAAGGUGAGUAAAAACCCACAUAUUGUAUGUGCUAUCAUCAGGUAUGUAUUUUUUUUUUAAAUCAUGUAAUGUUAUUGACAUGGGCGUUCUUGGUACUUAAUCCAAUUGAUAUAUGGCAAUGAUUAUCAAUAGGCGAUAGUGUAUACUAAACAUGAUUAAUCAAAUCAAAAUUUGUCGUAAAUAGACAUAACUGAAUGGACCAGACGGUGCUUGAGGUAUCAAGAGAGUAGGAUAUAGCACUUUCUGGGGCCCUCCCUACCCUCAGUUGUAGGUCAAAAGCCCUUAAAUUUAUUUUUUUCUCUGUUUUUUAUCUAAAAUAUGAACAGGAGUCAGUUACAGCUGGUCUCAGAUCUGUGCUUGGGGUUGUAACAUAGACCGAUGCUCCUCCCCUGUCUGUCUCCUCCCGGUGUAAACAUUGCCGUUGUGUCCAUAGCAAAAACGAUAGCAAAGCCUUGGAUAUAAUGCUGCUAGCUAAAUACGAAAGUUAUCACUGCUGUAUGCCAGCAGGGUUUACGUUGUGGAGUUCUUCUCCAGUAAAUUAGUGAAUUAACGGUCUGCAGCUAGGCGGCUAGGCGUUCGCAAAGUUCUGCGAAUGGAAUGCUUGCUAGUUAGCUAAAGCUAGCUAGGUUGUUUGACGACGUAAAAGUUGCUUGCUAGCAGCUAACUACAAUGCUAGCUGGCUACUAGUAACUUGCUCGCGAGGAGGACAACCAGAGCCCGCCAGCACAGCACAGCAGCUGUGUUGACACGAAACGAAAGGAGAUACCAAGCAAGCUAUCCCGGCCUGAUCCAUAUGGGGAAAUCUAUCUAAAAAUGUUUACUGUAUUGUUGACUACUUCACAUUUUCAGCAGUUUAUUUUUUUAGCUGUUGUUAUUGUGCUAGCCAAGGUACAAGUUAGUUAACGUUUGACAUUCUUUUCUCACUGUAAUCUUGGAAGUAUCCAUUAAUCAUCUUUAGUUAUUGGACUCAAGCUAUGAAUAAUGUUUUCUGUGAAGCCCUUGAAACUAACCUUUAAAUCCUACCACCUUACUUGACUAGCAAAGUUGCCCUGUCCUCGGUAUACUAACAGUUACUUGCUAUUACUGAGUAGUUAGCUAGCUAGGAUUACGUGUUCAAUUCACUAGCUAUAUGUUGUGCAUAAUUUAGUUAGUUUGUUGGUCUAUAAUAAG